This 88-nucleotide transfer RNA is filed under the name Hippoglossus stenolepis (Pacific halibut). RNAcentral's name for it is "tRNA-Tyr". It matches the Rfam family "tRNA". Rfam says of the family: Transfer RNA (tRNA) molecules are approximately 80 nucleotides in length. Their secondary structure includes four short double-helical elements and three loops (D, anti-codon, and T loops). Lineage: Eukaryota; Metazoa; Chordata; Actinopteri; Pleuronectiformes; Pleuronectidae. The record is from RNAcentral.
CCUUCGAUAGCUCAGUUGGUAGAGCGGAGGACUGUAGUUGAAAUUACCAGGCAUCCUUAGGUCGCUGGUUCAAUUCUGGCUCGAAGGA